GAAUCUUCGGCAAUGGACGAAAGUCUGACCGAGCAACGCCGCGUGAGUGAGGAAGGCCUUCGGGUCGUAAAGCUCUGUUGCCAGGGAAGAAGACGCGGGAGAGGAAAUGCUCUUGCGGUGACGGUACCUGAGAAGAAAGCCCCGGCUAACUACGUGCCAGCAGCCGCGGUAAUACGUAGGGGGCAAGCGUUGUCCGGAAUUAUUGGGCGUAAAGCGCGCGCAGGCGGCUUCUUAAGUCGGGUGUUUAAGCCCGGGGCUCAACCCCGGUACGCAUUCGAAACUGGGAGGCUUGAGUGCAGGAGAGAAGAGCGGAAUUCCACGUGUAGCGGUGAAAUGCGUAGAGAUGUGGAGGAACACCAGUGGCGAAGGCGGCUCUUUGGCCUGUAACUGACGCUGAGGCGCGAAAGCGUGGGGAGCAAACAG
Molecule: ribosomal RNA, 423 nt
Filed under: uncultured bacterium
Lineage: Bacteria
Description: bacterial SSU rRNA
Rfam family: Bacterial small subunit ribosomal RNA
Source: RNAcentral